ACAUCCAGAGAAUUUAGCAGAGAUGCUUUAGUGCCUUCGGGAACUCUGAGACAGGUGCUGCAUGGCUGUCGUCAGCUCGUGUUGUGAAAUGUUGGGUUAAGUCCCGNAACGAGCGCAACCCUUAUCCUUUGUUGCCAGCACGUAAUGGUGGGAACUCAAAGGAGACUGCCGGUGAUAAACCGGAGGAAGGUGGGGAUGACGUCAAGUCAUCAUGGCCCUUACGAGUAGGGCUACACACGUGCUACAAUGGCGCAUCAAAGAGAAGCGACCUCGCGAGAGCAAGCGGACCUCAUAAAGUGCGUCGUAGUCCGGAUUGGAGUCUGCAACUCGACUCCAUGAAGUCGGAAUCGCUAGUAAUCGUAAAUCAGAAUGUUACGGUGAAUACGUUCCCGGGCCUUGUACACACCGCCCGUCACACCAUGGGAGUGGGUUGCAAAAGAAGUAGAUAGCUUAACCUUCGGGAGGGCGUUUACCACUUUGUGAUUCAUGACUGGGGUGAAGUCGUAACAAGGUAAGCGUAGUGCU
RNAcentral lists this ribosomal RNA (525 nucleotides) under uncultured bacterium. Its description in RNAcentral is "bacterial SSU rRNA". It matches the Rfam family "Bacterial small subunit ribosomal RNA", at positions 984 to 1509 of the family's 1533-position model. The record is from RNAcentral.